RNAcentral lists this ribosomal RNA (499 nucleotides) under uncultured bacterium. RNAcentral's name for it is "partial 16S ribosomal RNA". It matches the Rfam family "Bacterial small subunit ribosomal RNA", at positions 28 to 507 of the family's 1533-position model. The record is from RNAcentral.
GACGAACGCUGGCGGCGUGCCUAAUACAUGCAAGUCGAGCGAAGUUUUUCUGGUGCUUGCACCGGAAAAACUUAGCGGCGAACGGGUGAGUAACACGUAAAGAACCUGCCUCAUAGACUGGGACAACUAUUGGAAACGAUAGCUAAUACCGGUUAACAGCAUUAACUGCAUGGUUGAUGUUUAAAAGUUGGUUUUGCUAACACUAUGAGAUGGCUUUGCGGUGCAUUAGCUAGUUGGUGGGGUAAAGGCCUACCAAGGCGACGAUGCAUAGCCGACCUGAGAGGGUGAUCGGCCACACUGGGACUGAGACACGGCCCAGACUCCUACGGGAGGCAGCAGUAGGGAAUCUUCCGCAAUGGGCGAAAGCCUGACGGAGCAACGCCGCGUGAGUGAAGAAGGAUUUCGGUUCGUAAAGCUCUGUUGUUAGGGAAGAAUGAUUGUGUAGUAACUAUACACAGUAGAGACGGUACCUAACCAGAAAGCCACGGCUAACUACGUG